This 328-nucleotide unclassified non-coding RNA is filed under the name soil metagenome. RNAcentral describes it as "partial contains 5.8S ribosomal RNA, internal transcribed spacer 2, and large subunit ribosomal RNA". The stretch from base 1 to 120 matches the Rfam family "5.8S ribosomal RNA", at positions 35 to 154 of the family's 154-position model. The record is from RNAcentral.
GAUGAAGAACGUAGCGAAAUGCGAUAAGUAGUGUGAAUUGCAGAAUUCAGUGAAUCAUCGAAUCUUUGAACGCACAUUGCGCCCCUUGGUAUCCCGAGGGGCAUGCCUGUUCGAGCGUCAUUUCACCACUCAAGCCUGGCUUGGUGUUGGGCGACGUCCUCUUUGGGGACGCGCCUCGAAACGCUCGGCGGCGUGGCACCGGCUUUAAGCGUAGCAGAAUCUUUCGCUUUGGAAGUCGGGGCCCCGUCUGCCGGAAGACCUGCUCGCAAGGUUGACCUCGGAUCAGGCAGGGAUACCCGCUGAACUUAAGCAUAUCAAUAACGGAGGA